AUCGCUUCUCAGCUUUUUGCCUAAGAUCAGGUUUAGUAU
Molecule: small nuclear RNA, 39 nt
Filed under: Cervus elaphus hippelaphus
Lineage: Eukaryota; Metazoa; Chordata; Mammalia; Artiodactyla; Cervidae
Source: RNAcentral